This 860-nucleotide ribosomal RNA is filed under the name Escherichia coli. RNAcentral's name for it is "partial 23S ribosomal RNA". It matches the Rfam family "Bacterial large subunit ribosomal RNA", at positions 612 to 1476 of the family's 2925-position model. Lineage: Bacteria; Pseudomonadati; Pseudomonadota; Gammaproteobacteria; Enterobacterales; Enterobacteriaceae. The record is from RNAcentral.
AUAAUGGGUCAGCGACUUAUAUUCUGUAGCAAGGUUAACCGAAUAGGGGAGCCGAAGGGAAACCGAGUCUUAACUGGGCGUUAAGUUGCAGGGUAUAGACCCGAAACCCGGUGAUCUAGCCAUGGGCAGGUUGAAGGUUGGGUAACACUAACUGGAGGACCGAACCGACUAAUGUUGAAAAAUUAGCGGAUGACUUGUGGCUGGGGGUGAAAGGCCAAUCAAACCGGGAGAUAGCUGGUUCUCCCCGAAAGCUAUUUAGGUAGCGCCUCGUGAAUUCAUCUCCGGGGGUAGAGCACUGUUUCGGCAAGGGGGUCAUCCCGACUUACCAACCCGAUGCAAACUGCGAAUACCGGAGAAUGUUAUCACGGGAGACACACGGCGGGUGCUAACGUCCGUCGUGAAGAGGGAAACAACCCAGACCGCCAGCUAAGGUCCCAAAGUCAUGGUUAAGUGGGAAACGAUGUGGGAAGGCCCAGACAGCCAGGAUGUUGGCUUAGAAGCAGCCAUCAUUUAAAGAAAGCGUAAUAGCUCACUGGUCGAGUCGGCCUGCGCGGAAGAUGUAACGGGGCUAAACCAUGCACCGAAGCUGCGGCAGCGACGCUGAUGCGUUGUUGGGUAGGGGAGCGUUCUGUAAGCCUGUGAAGGUGUGCUGUGAGGCAUGCUGGAGGUAUCAGAAGUGCGAAUGCUGACAUAAGUAACGAUAAAGCGGGUGAAAAGCCCGCUCGCCGGAAGACCAAGGGUUCCUGUCCAACGUUAAUCGGGGCAGGGUGAGUCGACCCCUAAGGCGAGGCCGAAAGGCGUAGUCGAUGGGAAACAGGUUAAUAUUCCUGUACUUGGUGUUACUGCGAAGGGGGGACGGA